RNAcentral lists this ribosomal RNA (382 nucleotides) under uncultured eukaryote. RNAcentral's name for it is "partial 18S ribosomal RNA". It matches the Rfam family "Eukaryotic small subunit ribosomal RNA", at positions 592 to 976 of the family's 1831-position model. The record is from RNAcentral.
CAAUAGCGUAUAUUAAAGUUGUUGCAGUUAAAAAGCUCGUAGUUGGAUUUCUGGUUGAAGCGACCGGUCGGGCGUUGAUUCGACUGCACUGGAGUCGGUUUUGGCCAUCCUCUAGGAAAGUGCGUCUGGUAUUAAGUUAUCGGGCGUAUGAUCCUGGUCUUUUACUGUGAAAAAAUUAGAGUGUUUAAAGCAGGCCUUCGCCUUGAAUACAUUAGCAUGGAAUAAUAAGAUAGGACUUUGGUCUAUUUUGUUGGUUUGCAGACCGAAGUAAUGAUUAAUAGGGAUAGUUGGGGGUAUUUAUAUUCCGAUGUCAGAGGUGAAAUUCUUAGAUUUUCGGAAGAUAAACUUAUGCGAAAGCAUUUACCAAGGAUGUUUUCAUUAA